This 253-nucleotide ribosomal RNA is filed under the name uncultured bacterium. RNAcentral's name for it is "partial 16S ribosomal RNA". It matches the Rfam family "Bacterial small subunit ribosomal RNA", at positions 524 to 776 of the family's 1533-position model. The record is from RNAcentral.
UACGUAGGGGGCAAGCGUUGUCCGGAUUUAUUGGGCGUAAAGAGCGUGUAGGCGGCCAUACAGGUCCGUUGUGAAAACUGGAGGCUUAACCUCCAGACGUCGAUGGAAACCGUAUGGCUAGAGUCCGGAAGAGGAGAGUGGAAUUCCUGGUGUAGCGGUGAAAUGCGCAGAUAUCAGGAAGAACACCCGUGGCGAAGGCGGCUCUCUGGGACGGUACUGACACUGAGACGCGAAAGCGUGGGGAGCGAACAGG